Molecule: transfer RNA, 97 nt
Filed under: Sphaerospermopsis kisseleviana
Lineage: Bacteria; Bacillati; Cyanobacteriota; Cyanophyceae; Nostocales; Aphanizomenonaceae
Also listed under: 3 other names
Description: tRNA-OTHER
Rfam family: tRNA
About the family: Transfer RNA (tRNA) molecules are approximately 80 nucleotides in length.
Source: RNAcentral
GGGGAAGUAGCUCAAUGGUAGAGCCCCCUCUUGAAAAGGGUUCUUACGAGAACCUUUUCCAAGGGGACGGUUGUGGGUUCAACUCCCAUCUUCCCCA